Long non-coding RNA from Panthera uncia (snow leopard), 663 nucleotides. RefSeq lists it as uncharacterized. The transcript has 3 exons. The record is from RefSeq and is a predicted model, not a curated record. NCBI's taxonomy places the organism in Eukaryota, Metazoa, Chordata, Mammalia, Carnivora, Felidae.
UUUAUGAUACAGGGCAUGCCAAAGUGGUCAUAACAGCAGUAGUGACCUCAAUGGUUAAGUUCUAUGGCACAAUUUUGGCCAUUAUGCUUAGGUAGGUGACCCAAAAUCUGAUUCUAGAGCUCUUCUAGAGAUUCUGGAAGCUAUUCACUAUCACUUUGAAAUUUGACCGAUACACUUAACCUUAAUUUCUCUAUCAGUGAACUAAGGGUAAUACUGUAUACCUUGAAAGUAGCAGAGAGAAUUAAAUGAGAUAAUGUAUGUUUGUCAACCUCUCAGAAGAAAAAGGACUAUGGCUCACCUCUUCCAGUGUGAUGCAAAGAACCGGGUCUUUGGAAUAUGACAGACCUGAGUGUAAAUCUCCGCGGAAAUUGAACAGGUUGUCUACACCACAACACUGUCAUACCUAAGCAUUCUUACCUACAAAAUAAGGAUGAUUGAAUACCUCCUUCAUAGGAUUCUUCUGAAGAUUAAAAAAGAAACUGCACAGACAGCAACUAGUGUAGCCCUUGGCACAUGGUAAAGCAGGCAUUCAACAAAUGAUAGGUGACAGGAGCAAAUUAGGAGGUGACUGCUACUUUCCAUCAGAAAAGGAAACAACAGGAAAAAAAUCAUAGAAAGUAAACAUAUGCACAUGAUCUAUACGAAAUAGUAAACAAAAUAAAG